CUUCGAAACGCUUAGUGGUAAAGCAGCUGACUGAAAAUCAGCGUACGGCGGGUUCGAAUCCCGUAUCGAAUG
Molecule: transfer RNA, 72 nt
Filed under: Clostridiales bacterium
Lineage: Bacteria; Bacillati; Bacillota; Clostridia; Eubacteriales
Description: tRNA-Phe
Rfam family: tRNA
About the family: Transfer RNA (tRNA) molecules are approximately 80 nucleotides in length. Their secondary structure includes four short double-helical elements and three loops (D, anti-codon, and T loops).
Source: RNAcentral